Molecule: long non-coding RNA, 817 nt
Organism: Loxodonta africana (African savanna elephant)
Lineage: Eukaryota; Metazoa; Chordata; Mammalia; Proboscidea; Elephantidae
Exons: 3
Source: RefSeq, a predicted model, not a curated record
CUUGGUUGUCUUUCCUGUCCUGGAGCAUAAAGUUGUAAAUUGCGAAACAGUGGCUAUUAGCCAUCAGUGUGCAUAGCAGAUACCAUGUGUUUAAAAUGCAGCUUCCAAUGAGUCAUUCCCCGAAUUCUAUUUUCAUAGGCCUGCGCUAGAGUGUCUCUGUAGCAAGCGGCCCAGGUGACUUGGUACAGGUGAUACUCAGACUACAAUUUGAGAAACACUGACCUCAGCUACUUCCUGAAAUCUGGAGGAUCCCAGUGGUGCUCAGAGCCCCAUCCUGCUACAAACACGCAACAGUGCUGGAAGCAGACUGCCACAUCUUUCUCUGGAGGAGCAGCUGGUGGAUUUGAAUCGCUUUCUGGCUAGCAGCUGAGUGCUUUAAUCACUGCACCAUGAUGAAACUGAGGUACAAAGAGUUUCUGGGCAUCAGGAAUCUGAGUAUAGCUUAGCUGGAUCGUCUGCUUUAGCAUCUCACAAAACUGCAAUCAAGGUGUCAGCUGGGUUGAGAUCGCUUCUGGAAGCCUGACUGGGGAGAGCUCACUUCCAAGUGAAUUCAUUCAGGUGGGUAGUAGAAUUCUUUUUCUUACAACUCUUUUAUUGAGGGCCCUGGCUUUUUACUGUAUGUUGAAUGGAGGUUGUCUUCAGAUUCUGAAGGGCACUGUCAGUUCCUUCCCUUGUGGGCUUCUCCAACAUGGCCACUUACUUCAUCAAGCCCACAGAGAAAGUCAACUAAGAUGGAGUUGUAUACAGGCAGAUUCUUAUAUAACAAUCACAGGAUGGCAUCCUAUCACCUUUGCCAUAUUCUCUUGAUUAGAAGUAA